Molecule: ribosomal RNA, 412 nt
Filed under: Paenibacillus antri
Lineage: Bacteria; Bacillati; Bacillota; Bacilli; Caryophanales; Paenibacillaceae
Description: bacterial SSU rRNA
Rfam family: Bacterial small subunit ribosomal RNA
Source: RNAcentral
GGUGGGCACUCUAAGAUGACUGCCGGUGACAAACCGGAGGAAGGUGGGGAUGACGUCAAAUCAUCAUGCCCCUUAUGACCUGGGCUACACACGUACUACAAUGGUCGGUACAGAGGGCAGCGAGACCGCGAGGUGGAGCGAAUCUCAGAAAGCCGAUCUCAGUUCGGAUUGCAGGCUGCAACUCGCCUGCAUGAAGCCGGAAUUGCUAGUAAUCGCGGAUCAGCAUGCCGCGGUGAAUACGUUCCCGGGUCUUGUACACACCGCCCGUCACACCACGAGAGUUUACAACACCCGAAGUCGGUGAGGUAACCGCAAGGGGCCAGCCGCCGAAGGUGGGGUAGAUGAUUGGGGUGAAGUCGUAACAAGGUAGCCGUAUCGGAAGGUGCGGCUGGAUCACCUCCUUUCUAUGGAG